RNAcentral lists this ribosomal RNA (384 nucleotides) under Chrysochromulina sp. RNAcentral's name for it is "partial small subunit ribosomal RNA". It matches the Rfam family "Eukaryotic small subunit ribosomal RNA", at positions 587 to 975 of the family's 1831-position model. Lineage: Eukaryota; Haptophyta; Prymnesiales; Chrysochromulinaceae. The record is from RNAcentral.
AGCUCCAAUAGCGUAUAUUAAAGUUGUUGCAGUUAGAACGCUCGUAGUCGGAUUUCGGGGCGGUCCGACCGGUCUGCCGAUGGGUACGCACUGGUCGGAGCGUCCUUUUUGCCGGAGACCGUGCCUACUCUUAACUGAGCGGGGGCGGGAGACGGCACUUUUACUUUGAAAAAAUCAGAGUGUUUCAAGCAGGCAGCUCGCUCUUGCAUGGAUUAGCAUGGGAUAAUGAAAUAGGACUUUGGUGCUAUUUUGUUGGUUUCGAACACCGAAGUAAUGAUGAGAAGGGACAGUCAGGGGCACUCGUAUUCCGCCGAGAGAGGUGAAAUUCUCAGACCAGCGGAAGACGAACCACUGCGAAAGCAUUUGCCAGGGAUGUUUUCACUG